This 3093-nucleotide long non-coding RNA is filed under the name Sus scrofa (pig). Its description in RNAcentral is "lncRNA (ENSSSCG00000060583.1)". The record is from RNAcentral. Lineage: Eukaryota; Metazoa; Chordata; Mammalia; Artiodactyla; Suidae.
UGGCGCCACCUGGUGGCCGCAUAGGGAAGGACUCAGCUUGGGAUCCGGAAGUGACAGGAGUGCCCUUAAGCCGCGGCUGUUCUCCUUGGCAUCUGUGCACCCAAGUUCUACCCAGAGUUCUCCCAUCGGUGGCAGACACCGCGAAGUGUGGAUGGAAGGAUUAAAAGAAAGAAGAACAAUGAAAGUGAAAAAGACAAGCAGUUUAUUUGGGCAGCUCAGAGUUUGGAGAGGAACUAGUUACCAUCCUGUAACAGAUGAAGGGAUUACAGAGAAUGCAGGGGGAGCAUGAGGGAAACCAGGAAUCAGGCGACACUACCCAGAGGAGGGGACAUGCGGCCUGAGGCACGGACUUAAGUCUUCAUCAAUCCUAGAAAAGAGAAUCCUAGCUGCAAGAACAGCUAGUGCGUGGUUCUCAACUCUGACUACACACUAGAAUCAAUUGGGGACCUUUUCAAAAAAGCCCAGAUGGCACCCACUGACCAGUGACUUGCGAAUCCCAGGGGGAGGGAGAGGGGGAGACACCUGAAUUCUUUGAAGCCCCCGGUGUCUGAAUACCAGGCAAAGUUGAGACCCACCAAACAAAGGCUCAGAAUGAUGAAUUUACAUUCCUGCCUGGGAUGCAGGAGUAAAAAGCCCCAGGUGGAUGGAAUAGGGGGUGCCUGAAGCAGAGAGGCAAGAAAUGAGGAGCAGGAAGGCGUGCUGGGCCAUUUCCUCAGAACCACAGAAGAAUACCCACUAGCAAAUGAAAUAAGCAAAAGAAUACCCACUAGCAAAAGAAAUACAUAUCAUUUGCAUAAUUCACAUUCCUGACAAACUCCAUGCUUGCAUUUGAACAGGACUUUUUUCUUUUUCUUUCUUUUUUUGUUUUUUGGGUUUUUUUUUUUUUUUGUCUUUUAUCUUUUUAGGUAUACACCAGCAGCAUAUGGGGGUUCCCAGGCUAGGGGUCUAAUCAGAGCUGAAGCCGUCGGCCUACACCACAGCCACAGCCACACUAGAUCCCUAGAUCAGAGCUGCAUCUGCCACCUACACCACAGUUCCUGGCAAUGCCAGAUCCUUAAGCCACUGAGCGGGGCCAGAGAUCGAACCCGCUUCCUCUCAUGGAUACUAGUUGGGUUCGUUAACCACUGAGCCACUACAGGAACUACUGAACAGGACUUUCUACUGCCUCGCCAAGGGAGUGGCUGAGAGACUCAAUACCACCUAUAAUUAGCUCCACAUUUCUGAGGAUGUGCCUGAUUGUUUCUGGAAUUCUCUUUGAGCCUGAAAACAGCAAGCACUCAAUGAAUGUUGGCUGAACUGUCUGAUCAGGUACUCUCACUUGAGUGGCCAGUCUUGAUGACCUCUGGGUUCGAGGGGCUUUGCUGCAAGGAAAUUGGACUGCUGUGACCUCAAGGACUCCAGAAGCUCCAUAGAACCCACAGUCCCAGGGGCUGCUGACUGCAAUUCCACAUCCUUCAGCGAUUCUUUGUCAUGUUCCAUUUCCUGUAUCAAUACUAUUUCCUGAGGUAGGUCUUAAAGAACUGAAAGGGUUCAGAAAUGAAUAGUUAUGAGGAAGAGAAGGAAAGAUACAGAAAGGAAGGCCUGUGACCCCUCUGAGAGCUGGCCCUUGGCACUGGCCAGAAUCUAAGACAAAACAGAGAGGCCUUCAAAAAUAGGCGCUUCCUUUCUUUUCAAACUGGAACCUCCUGGCACUUUUCACCAGUUCUUACAAUUUUUGUUCGAAGCCUGGGAGCAGAGUUCAGCCUUUCCUUAGGAGCUGCCUUAUCUAGCCAAUCACAGGACACACGUUGAUUUUUUUCCAAGAUUCACUCAAAGAAGCAGUCAAGACAAUUCGAUUCUUUUAAAGAGACACUUCUCACAACUGACCAGGAAAACAGAGACCCUUGUACUGCCCUGUACCUGAGCCAACCAGUUCAUACACUGGUUUAACACUCCUCUCGCAGGCUGGAAGUGACUCUGAGACAAGGAUUUGAGUGCAAGUGGGUUGGCCGGGGGUGGGCCCAAGACAGAUGGAGACACGAGACAGGGAAAUGAAGGAGGCCGGUCCAGGGCACACUCAUCACAGGUGAGGCUCGAUUCCACUGGGGAACUUGGGGAGACAGUGUUGAAUGUGGUCCAGGGUUAUCCCGUGGGAGCCACAAGAAGCUGGGGCCAUAUGUCCACCCACUCCCAUGGGUCACUGGUUCAGCGACAACUGCUCAGCACUACCAGCCUGCCCUGCACGUGCCCACACUUUAGUGGCCAGAGACAGUCCUCAGGCAAAGGGAGCUGGGGUACCAGGCCAUAUGGGUGGACCGCCUCUAGCAUUUGCCACCAGAUCCCCCUCUGUUCACAUGCUAUUCAUAAAGGAUAGGUUCCCAGGCUCCACCUCCUAAAUGUGGCCCUUCAGCUUGGAGACCUGCUGCAGAUAAGGGAAUAGGCCGACGCAAGAUGUAUGCCGUCUCCCAGAAGGUGGAUGCUCAGACAAUGGCCUGUGGCAAACAUCUGCCUGCACAGGUUAACCAUCUACAGAGAUGCCCUCUGCUGUGGGACUCGACGCCCUACCCCUCCCUUAAAUCGUGUAACCCUCCCCUCCUUCUUUAUUGUUCCCACCACAAGUUCCCGCCACGGAUCCUUUAUAAGCCUAAUAUCUCCUUGACGUUGGGGCUGGCACCAUCGUGAGCAUCUGUUUCAGUGGCCUUAGUAAAUCUCUCUUGCUCUACCGUCUUGGCCCUGCGCAUUGCUCACUCGGCAAACGUAACAGUGAACCCUCCAAAAGGGUACCCACCAGCCGAGCGCCAACCCUUCCCAGUACCCAUCCAGCCACAUAAGCAUGGACACUGGUAUCAGCCACCUCAUUCCGGAGGUGCCAUCCAGCACGGGCCGCUUGGUGAGAACACGGGUCUACCGAAUUGGCGAUCAGGAAAUAUCCCAGGCCCCAGUGAACACAGGUGGCAGUCCCACUCAGUGCCAUCCAUGCAUUUGACAAGGGCUGGGAUGAGGCUGAUCCCAUUAAUGCAGUCAUUCAAGAAAAGGUGGCUCAGAUGAGCCAUGUCAUUGAGGGAAAAGGAGAAGCAGCUCAGGAGGAUCUGGAUUUAGCUGAGAGUACAAAUU